Molecule: long non-coding RNA, 540 nt
Organism: Drosophila hydei
Lineage: Eukaryota; Metazoa; Arthropoda; Insecta; Diptera; Drosophilidae
Exons: 3
Source: RefSeq, a predicted model, not a curated record
AGAGAACGAGGAGGAAUAGAUGGACAACUGAGGGACAUUUCGAGCUGCUGGGUUGAAUGACUUUGUGGUCCAUUGAAAAGUGGCCAAGGACAAGGCCUGUUUCUGGUUUCUGGUCUCUGGUUUCUGGUUCCUGAUUACUGGCGACUGGCUUCCAGCUUCGGCGCCUGGUCUGGGGCUGGACUUGGCUUGGGUCCAUCAUAACCACAAUUGAAAGUUAUUAGUCGAGCCCAGUUGGCGUCCAGCUGUGUCUAAUGAUUUUGCUUCACCAUUUUUUACGCUCGGCUGAAGGUGUCAGCAUUUGGGGGCAGCGCAUUAUAAAUGCUAAGCAGCAAGCACGAUAAACAGGGAUGCUUUCGAAUGCCAUAUUGCGAGCAUGAUAAGCCGACUUAUUCCUUCCAAGUUAAUGUGCUUCACUCAACUUUCUAAGAAUUUCCAGAGAUUUUGUAUGCAAGAAAGGAAGCGUGUAAUUCCCGCAAUAGAAACCUGCCCCAACGGGAGCAAAUUAAGUGGAAUUCGAGACAAUCUGAAAAGUGAAAAUGC